ACUCCUACGGGAGGCAGCAGUGGGGAAUAUUGCACAAUGGGGGAAACCCUGAUGCAGCGACACCGCGUGAAUGAUGAAGGUUUUCGGAUCGUAAAGUUCUGUUAAGUGGGAAGAAAGGCUUUGUGUAAAUAAUGCAAAGAGAUGACGGUACCACUAGAGAAAGCUCCGGCUAACUUCGUGCCAGCAGCCGCGGUAAUACGAGGGGAGCAAGCGUUAUUCGGAAUUACGUGGGACGUAAAGGGCGUGUAGGCGGCAACUUAAGUCGUGUAGUUAAACGACCGGUGCAUACCGACCGGAGCGGCAUGCGAAACUGGGUUGCUAGAGUGUAAGAGAGAGGAGUGGAAUUCUUGGAGUAGCGGUAGAAUGCGUAGAUCUCAAAGAGGAACACCGGAUGGCGAAGGCAGCUCCGUUGGCUUACAACUGACGCUGAGACGCGAAAGCGUGGGAGCAAACAGGAUUAGAUACCCCGUGGUAGCGACUGA
RNAcentral lists this ribosomal RNA (482 nucleotides) under uncultured bacterium. RNAcentral's name for it is "bacterial SSU rRNA". It matches the Rfam family "Bacterial small subunit ribosomal RNA", at positions 335 to 803 of the family's 1533-position model. The record is from RNAcentral.